AUACGGAGGGUGCAAGCGUUAUCCGGAUUUAUUGGGUUUAAAGGGUGCGUAGGCGGAUCGGUCAGUCAGUGGUGAAAUCCCAUAGCUUAACUAUGGAACUGCCAUUGAUACUGCCAAUCUCGAGUAUAGUUGAAGUGGAUGGACUGUAACAUGUAGCGGUGAAAUGCAUAGAUAUGUUACAGAACACCGAUUGCGAAGGCAGUUCACUAAACUAUUACUGACGCUGAGGCACGAAAGCGUGGGGAGCGAACAGGAUUAGAAACCCCAGUAGUCA
RNAcentral lists this ribosomal RNA (274 nucleotides) under uncultured bacterium. RNAcentral describes it as "partial 16S ribosomal RNA". It matches the Rfam family "Bacterial small subunit ribosomal RNA", at positions 523 to 796 of the family's 1533-position model. The record is from RNAcentral.